UGUACCCUUAGCUCAGUUGGUUAGAGCAGACGGCUCAUAACCGUCCGGUCGUAGGUUCGAGUCCUACAGGGUACAU
Molecule: transfer RNA, 76 nt
Filed under: Enterococcus thailandicus
Lineage: Bacteria; Bacillati; Bacillota; Bacilli; Lactobacillales; Enterococcaceae
Description: tRNA-Met
Rfam family: tRNA
About the family: Transfer RNA (tRNA) molecules are approximately 80 nucleotides in length. Their secondary structure includes four short double-helical elements and three loops (D, anti-codon, and T loops). Further hydrogen bonds mediate the characteristic L-shaped molecular structure. tRNAs have two regions of fundamental functional importance: the anti-codon, which is responsible for specific mRNA codon recognition, and the 3' end, to which the tRNAs corresponding amino acid is attached (by aminoacyl-tRNA synthetases). tRNAs cope with the degeneracy of the genetic code in two manners: having more than one tRNA (with a specific anti-codon) for a particular amino acid; and 'wobble' base-pairing, i.e. permitting non-standard base-pairing at the 3rd anti-codon position.
Source: RNAcentral